RNAcentral lists this long non-coding RNA (1460 nucleotides) under Homo sapiens (human). RNAcentral describes it as "novel transcript". Lineage: Eukaryota; Metazoa; Chordata; Mammalia; Primates; Hominidae. The record is from RNAcentral.
AUUGACAAAAUGUGUGAUGUGGGUGGGAUGAGAGAUACAGCGUGCUGCCAAGGAUGGCCCAUCUUAAUGAGAGUUGUGGGAGAGAACAAGCCUUGGAAAUCACAUGCUGUCAUUUCUGCGAUCGGUCAUAACCAGUCCUGAUUCCAUGUUAGAGGAGACUACAUAAGGACACAGGUACCAGAAGCUGAUAUAAGUCUUUUGAGGUACAGCCUGGCACAAAAAGGAUGAGAUUUGUGGGCAGAAUUUUGGAAGAAUAUCUCCCGAGAGAACAUUCAGGACAGAUUGCACUGCUUUGGAGAGCUGGUGAUGAAAUCCGGCCAUUGAAUUACACUGCACUAUAAACUUCAUUUGUUCUUGGGUGCAUAGUGAUUUGCUAUAAUAAUGAUCAUCCAUUUGCCAGACAGCUGAGAUUUUUUAAAAGCUUGAUUGCUUUUGGCAUGGCAUUAUUAGUCCUGGAAGAAGGCAGCACAUUUGUAGCAAUUCUCAGCUUGAGCAAACUAGAAUAUUCACCUCCCACAAAUGCUGGCCAUUUAAGAUCUGUGUGUUAGACUUUGGCAUUUUUUCUAGCAAUUCUACAACAGCAUACACACUUUUAUUUUUCAUUAACACCAUUGUGAAUAUGCCCAUCUCUAAAAUUUCAAGGGGGUUCACUUAAGCUACUGAGUUUUAUGGACAGAAGGGCCAAGAAAAGUCCCCAAAGAAGAGUGCAUGCUGUCAAUUGCCAAUUAUUUUUUUUUCUAAUGAAAGCCAAACAAUUCCAGACAAACCCUUUUCUAAGAAAUGAACUACAUAUCUGGAUCCAAAUAAAUACUCAUCUGAUAAGAAUCUAAAAGCUCUACUGAAUUACAGUGGAUGAGAACAUGAUGAUGGUGAUUCUUUGAAGAUUACUGAGGAAAUCAACUCUCAUGUCUGAUUCUGAUACUUUUAUAGUCCAUCCAUGUUGAAAAUGUCUAUGGAAUGAUUCUGUUGUACCUUGAGAAAUGAAAUUCAUAGGCAUGGAUUCUCUCACACAGCAACUUUAUACACAAAGAUGAGAAUAGAAGAAAGGUCAUUUCCAAAGAAAGUGACAUUUAUUCUGUAUUCACUGAAAAGCCAAAAGAAUUUUCUCAUUCACCCAUACCGACAGAGCCCUACAUCUCCCCGAGAAGAGGUGAAAGAGACUGCUCCUAUCUGCUUCUGCAUCAAACUUCAGGCUCAAGACCUGUCCAGAAAAAAAAAUGUCUUCUUUCAGGGAUGAACUGCUGUCCUCAUCAGACGCCUUAUUUUGUUUAGAAUUCAAGCUCACUUGACAGGUUAUUGUGAAGAUUAAAUGAAUUAAUACAUGUGAAGCAACUGUAACAACUCUUGACAUGCGUGGGCUGGACUUCCAGAAGAAACGUUGUCAGAACUCUGCCCAACUGAAAACAAGCCUACUAAAAAUAAAUAAAUAAAUAAAAUUUUAAAAAAUUGAUUAAUUAAAA